RNAcentral lists this long non-coding RNA (281 nucleotides) under Gossypium barbadense (sea-island cotton). Its description in RNAcentral is "long non-coding RNA (GBAR_LNC011810)". The record is from RNAcentral. Lineage: Eukaryota; Viridiplantae; Streptophyta; Magnoliopsida; Malvales; Malvaceae.
UCAAAUUUUAAAAAAGAAAAUGAUAAUCUAAUCGUAUAAAAAAAUAGGAAAGAGCGUUGAUUAAAAGAAAAGAAAAGGAAAGGGUAAGAAUGAAAAUUGAAUUGUUAAACGCAGUUUUAAAUCUCCACUAGCCCUUAAAGUAGCAGUGGGAAAAAUGAACUGCGUUGUGAUGAGAUUUUUGCACCAUUGUUAUCCAAACAACGGGGAGAGCUGCGAUUGCACGAUUAACCGAGCAAAUCUCACCGGAACGCAGGUGCGGUGGAAUCCAAAGGCAGCCUUAG